GACGGGACCCCGCACAAGCGGUGGAUUAUGUUGUUUAAUUCGACGCAACGCGAAGAACCUUACCAGGCCUUGACAUACUCGGCAAAGCUCUAGAGAUAGAGUGGAGGUUUAUCCGGGAUACAGGUGGUGCAUGGUUGUCGUCAGCUCGUGUCGUGAGAUGUUGGGUUAAGUCCCGCAACGAGCGCAACCCUUGUCUUUAGUUACCAUCAUUAAGUUGGGGACUCUAGAGAGACUGCCGGUGAUAAACCGGAGGAAGGUGGGGAUGACGUCAAAUCAUCAUGCCCCUUAUGGCCUGGGCUACAAACGUAAUACAAUGGCGUAUACAAAGGGAUGCGAAGGGGCGACCUGGAGCAAAACUCACAAAGUACGUCUCAGUUCAGAUUGGAGUCUGCAACUCGACUCCAUGAAGGCGGAAUCGCUAGUAAUCGCGGAUCAGCAUGCCCGCGGUCGAAUACGUUCCCGGGCCUU
Molecule: ribosomal RNA, 468 nt
Filed under: uncultured Erysipelothrix sp.
Lineage: Bacteria; Bacillati; Bacillota; Erysipelotrichia; Erysipelotrichales; Erysipelotrichaceae
Description: bacterial SSU rRNA
Rfam family: Bacterial small subunit ribosomal RNA
Source: RNAcentral